CCUACGGGAGGCAGCAGUGGGGAAUAUUGCACAAUGGGGGAAACCCUGAUGCAGCGACGCCGCGUGAGGGAAGAAGUAUCUCGGUAUGGAAAGCUUUAUCAGCCGGGAAGUAAAUGACGGUACCUGAUUAAGAAGCCCCGGCUAACUACGUUCCAGCAGCCGCGCGAAGACGUAGGGGGCAAGCGUUAUCCGGAUUUACUGGGUGUUAAGGGAGCGUAGACGGCAGCACAAGUCUGGAGUGAAAUGCCGGGGCUUAACCCCGGAACUGCUUUGGAAACUGUGCAGCUAGAGUGCAGGAGAGGUAAGUGGAAUUCCUGGUGUAGCGGUGAAAUGCGUAGAUAUUAGGAGGAACACCAGUGGCGAAGGCGGCUUACUGGCCUGUAACUGACGUUGAGGCUCGAAAGCGUGGGGAGCAAACAGGAUUAGAUACCCCAGUAGUC
Molecule: ribosomal RNA, 440 nt
Filed under: uncultured bacterium
Lineage: Bacteria
Description: partial 16S ribosomal RNA
Rfam family: Bacterial small subunit ribosomal RNA
Source: RNAcentral